GCUACCCCGGGGAUAACAGGCUUAUCUCCCCCAAGAGUCCACAUCGACGGGGAGGUUUGGCACCUCGAUGUCGGCUCAUCGCAUCCUGGGGCUGUAGUCGGUCCCAAGGGUUGGGCUGUUCGCCCAUUAAAGCGGUACGCGAGCUGGGUUCAGAACGUCGUGAGACAGUUCGGUCCCUAUCCGUCGCGGGCGCAGGAAAUUUGAGAGGAGCUGUCCUUAGUACGAGAGGACCGGGAUGGACGCACCGCUGGUGUACCAGUUGUUCUGCCAAGGGCAUCGCUGGGUAGCUAUGUGCGGACGGGAUAAGUGCUGAAAGCAUCUAAGCAUGAAGCCCCCCUCAAGAUGAGAUUUCCCAUUCCGCAAGGAAGUAAGAUCCCUGAAAGAUGAUCAGGUUGAUAGGUCUGAGGUGGAAGUGUGGCGACAUAUGGAGCUGACAGAUACUAAUCGAUCGAGGACUUAACCAUUUU
Molecule: ribosomal RNA, 467 nt
Filed under: Bacillus siamensis
Lineage: Bacteria; Bacillati; Bacillota; Bacilli; Caryophanales; Bacillaceae
Description: bacterial LSU rRNA
Rfam family: Bacterial large subunit ribosomal RNA
Source: RNAcentral